CCUCGGAGAGUUUGAUCCUGGCUCAGGACGAACGCUGGCGGCGUGCCUAAUACAUGCAAGUCGAGCGGACAGAAGGGAGCUUGCUCCCGGAUGUUAGCGGCGGACGGGUGAGUAACACGUGGGUAACCUGCCUGUAAGACUGGGAUAACUCCGGGAAACCGGAGCUAAUACCGGAUAGUUCCUUGAACCGCAUGGUUCAAGGAUGAAAGACGGUUUCGGCUGUCACUUACAGAUGGACCCGCGGCGCAUUAGCUAGUUGGUGAGGUAACGGC
This 272-nucleotide ribosomal RNA is filed under the name Escherichia coli. RNAcentral's name for it is "partial 16S ribosomal RNA". It matches the Rfam family "Bacterial small subunit ribosomal RNA", at positions 1 to 264 of the family's 1533-position model. Lineage: Bacteria; Pseudomonadati; Pseudomonadota; Gammaproteobacteria; Enterobacterales; Enterobacteriaceae. The record is from RNAcentral.